Molecule: ribosomal RNA, 254 nt
Filed under: uncultured Candidatus Brocadia sp.
Lineage: Bacteria; Pseudomonadati; Planctomycetota; Candidatus Brocadiia; Candidatus Brocadiales; Candidatus Brocadiaceae
Description: partial 16S ribosomal RNA
Rfam family: Bacterial small subunit ribosomal RNA
Source: RNAcentral
UACAGAGGCGGCAAGCGUUGUUCGGAAUUAUUGGGCGUAAAGAGCACGUAGGCGGCUUUGUAAGUCAGUUGUGAAAGCCUUCUGCUUAACGGAAGAACAGCAUCUGAUACUGCAAGGCUAGAGUGCGGAAGGGGAGAGUGGAACUUCUGGUGGAGCGGUGAAAUGCGUAGAUAUCAGAAGGAACACCGGCGGCGAAGGCGACUCUCUGGUCCGUAACUGACGCUGAGUGUGCGAAAGCUAGGGGAGCAAACGGG